GCCCAAGUGGCGAAAUUGGUAGACGCACUAUGUUCAGGUCGUAGCAUUCGCAAGGAUGUGCUGGUUCGAAUCCAGUCUUGGGCA
RNAcentral lists this transfer RNA (84 nucleotides) under Chitinophagaceae bacterium. RNAcentral's name for it is "tRNA-Leu". It matches the Rfam family "tRNA". From Rfam's summary of the family: Transfer RNA (tRNA) molecules are approximately 80 nucleotides in length. Their secondary structure includes four short double-helical elements and three loops (D, anti-codon, and T loops). Further hydrogen bonds mediate the characteristic L-shaped molecular structure. tRNAs have two regions of fundamental functional importance: the anti-codon, which is responsible for specific mRNA codon recognition, and the 3' end, to which the tRNAs corresponding amino acid is attached (by aminoacyl-tRNA synthetases). tRNAs cope with the degeneracy of the genetic code in two manners: having more than one tRNA (with a specific anti-codon) for a particular amino acid; and 'wobble' base-pairing, i.e. permitting non-standard base-pairing at the 3rd anti-codon position. The record is from RNAcentral. Lineage: Bacteria; Pseudomonadati; Bacteroidota; Chitinophagia; Chitinophagales; Chitinophagaceae.